RNAcentral lists this long non-coding RNA (5321 nucleotides) under Gossypium barbadense (sea-island cotton). Its description in RNAcentral is "long non-coding RNA (GBAR_LNC023191)". Lineage: Eukaryota; Viridiplantae; Streptophyta; Magnoliopsida; Malvales; Malvaceae. The record is from RNAcentral.
AACCUCGUUAAAACUCUUGUGUUCUUUCUUGUCCUAUUUUUCUUUCAAUAUUUGAGGGUAUAAUAGUACUAUUUAAUUGUGCUAUUAAAUUACUAUAAAAGGGAUAUUCUGACUAAGGAAAGACUUGGUAUUUAAGAGAUCCUUGUGAUCCACCUCUCUUCUCUGGAAAUUGAACUUUGUGUGAUUUUUUAGUACAAUAAUUUACACGCUUCCGACCCUAUUGGAACAACAAGUGGUAUCAGAGCCGAAGGUUAAUCGUAGUAUGCUCUGUGGUUGCAGUUUGAACUGAUCUUCCACAUCAUAAAAGAUUUCCUUAGGUAUAUUGAAAGAUUAUGGAGAAAACGGUCGGUGUAGGAGCUUCAACAUCGUCCAUGUGGACAAGACCGACAAUUGCAAAUGCAAGACUGGCCGUGGAGAUCUUUGAUGGCACGGGCCAUUUUGGUAUGUGGCAAAAUGAGGUUCUAAAUGCCCUUUUUCAGCAGGGUCUAGACAUUGCCAUUGAUGAAGAGAAACUAGAUGAUGUACAGGGUACAGGAGAAAGAUUGGAAAGCGAUCAAUCGGUUGGCAUGUGGCACAAUUCGAUCAUGCCUUUCUUGAGAGCAGAGGUAUGCUUUUUCAAAGGAGACUUUUGCAAAUAAGUUGUGGGUGGCACUUGAAGAAAAUUUUUUGAAGAAAAACAGUCAAAAUAAGCUCCACUUGAAGAAAAGACGUUUCGCUUCACAUACGUCCCAAGUACCACAAUGAAUGAUCACAUCACCAAAUUUAAUCAGUUAGUCAUUGAUUUGCUGAAUAUGGAUGAGACAUUCAAAGAUGAAGAUUUGGCUUUGAUGCUGUUGGGGUCACUUCCUGAGGAGUUUGAGUUCCUAGAAACUACUCUACUUCAUGGCAGGAGUGAUAUAUCUCUGAGCGAAGUCUGUGCGGCCUUAUACAGUUAUGAACAGAGAAAGAAGGACAAACAGAAAAACUCAAUCAGAGAUACAGAAGCUUUAGUAGUCCGAGGUCGUUCAUACACUCAGAAGAAAACUCAAAAGGGGAGAUCAAAGUCAAAGUCCAGACUCGGGAAAGAUGAAUGUGCCUUUUGUCAUGAGAAAGGCCACUGGAAGAAAAAUUGUCCAAAGCUGAAGAAUAAGGGAAAAGCUACUGUAGAUGCUUGUGUUGCAAAGCAUGAUACUAGUGACUCUGAACUAUCACUGGUUGCAUCAUCAUCGUCGUUCUAUUCAGAUGAGUGGAUAUUGGAUUCGGGUUGUACCUUUCAUAUGUCCCCUAACUGGGAGUGGUUCUCUGAUUUUGUAGAACUAAAUGGAGGAGUUGUUUAUAUGGGCAAUGACAAUGCCUGUAAAACUGUUGGGAUAGGUUCAAUCCAAUUAAAGAAUCAAGAUGGAUCAACCAGAGUUCUGACUGAUGUUCGGUACGUGCCCAGUUUGAAGAAAAAUCUCAUCUCAUUGGGAGCCUUGGAAUCCAAUGGUUCAGUUGUUACUAUGAGAGAUGGGGUUUUGAAAGUGACAUCUGGCGCACGUGUGAUAUUGAAGGGCAUCAGGAAAAAUAACUUGUAUUACUACCAAGGUAGUACAGUUAUUGGAGCAGUCGCUGCAGCUUCCGGCAACAAAGAAUUGGACUCAAUACAGUUGUGGCAUAUGAAGUUGGGACAUGCCAACGAAAAAUCCUUGCAAUUUCUGGCAAAGCAAGGAUUGUUGAAAGGUGCAAAGGCUUACAAAUUAAAAUUUUACGAGCAUUGUGUUCUGGGAAAGCAAAAGAGAGUGAAAUUCGGUACUGCUAUCCAUAAUACAAAAGGUAUUUUCGAAUAUGUUCACUCAGAUGUGUGGGGGCCUUCCAAGACACCUUCAUUGGGAGGAAAACACUACUUUGUUACUUUUUUUGAUGACUUUUCCAGAAGAGUUUGGGUGUAUACCAUGAGAACUAAGGAUGAAGUGCUUAGAGUUUUUCUUAAAUGGAAAACUAUGAUCGAAAACCAGACUGGCAAGAAAAUCAAGCGGCUUAGGACGAACAAUGGAGGGGAAUAUAAAAGUGAUCCGUUCUUCGAUGUGUGCCAAGAGUAUGGUAUUGUUCGACACUUCACAGUUAGGGAUACACCACAGCAGAAUGGAGUGGCAGAGCGUAUGAAUCGAACAUUACAGGAGAAAGUUCGAUGUAUGUUGUCCAAUGCUGGGUUGGGCAAGCAAUUUUGGGCUGAGGCUGUGACAUACGCUGGCCAUCUUGUUAAUCGUUUGCCAUCAUCUGCAUUAGAAAGAAAAACUCCUAUGGAGGUAUGGUCUGGAAAACCGGUUACAGAUUAUGAUUCCUUACAUGUGUUUGGAACCACUGCAUAUUACCAUGUAAAGGAGUCAAAGUUAGAUCCGAGGGCAAAGAAAGCUCUCUUUAUGGGAAUCACUUCUGGAGUGAAGGGAUUUCGUCUUUGGUGCUUAAGCACAAAGAAAAUGAUCUGUAGCAGAGAUGUUACCUUUGAUGAAUCUGCCACAUUGAAAAAGGUAGCAGAUAAAGAUAUUCAGACGAGCAAUACUCCACAGCAGGUGGAGUGUACUCCAAAACAGGUGGAGUUUGAGCAGAUGGGGAUUUGCCCAGUUAAUAAGUCUAAUUCUCCAGCCACAAUGGAGGAAUUAGAGGUUGAAGAGGUUCUGACCCAAGAACCACUAAGUACACCAAAACCAGUUGCAGUUGCAAGGCUACGGAGAGAAAUUCGUAAACCUGCUCGAUUUACUGAUAUGGUGGCCUACGCCCUUCCCGUUGUUGAUGAUAUUCCUAUCACUUAUCAAGAAGCAAUGCAAAGCUUAGAAAGUGAUAAAUGGAAAAGCGCCAUGGAUGAAGAAAUGCAGUCUCUCCGGAAGAACAAUACUUGGGAGUUGGCGCAAUUACCGAAAGGUAAAAGGGCAAUCGGAUGCAAGUGGGUAUUCGCAAAGAAAGAUGGAUCUCCUAGCAAGAAGGAUAUUCGCUACAAGGCAAGAUUGGUAGCUAAAGGCUAUGCUCAGAAGGAGGGAAUUGACUACAAUGAUGUAUUUUCCCCUGUUGUGAAGCAUUCCUCCAUUAGAAUUUUGUUGGCCUUGGUAGCACAGUUGAAUUUGGAGCUAGCUCAACUUGAUGUUAAGACGGCUUUCUUGCAUGGUGAGUUAGAAGAGGAGAUCUAUAUGACUCAGCCCGAAGGAUACACAAAUGCUGGUGGUAGAAAUUGAGUUUGUAAGCUUAACAAAUCGUUAUAUGGAUUGAAGCAAUCCCCGAGGCAGUGGUACAAGCGAUUUGAUAGCUUUAUGAGAAGGCAGAAGUACACAAGAAGCAAAUAUGACAAUUGUGUAUAUUUGCAGAAGCUGCAUGACGGAUCUUUGAUUUAUCUACUCUUGUAUGUUGAUGAUAUGUUAAUCGCUUCGAAGAGCCAAAAUGAGAUAGAUAAGCUGAAGGCUCAGUUGAAUCAAGAGUUCGAGAUGAAAGAUCUAAGUGAGGCCAAGAAGAUUCUCUGCAUGGAGAUAAGUAGAGAUAGACAGAGAGGCAAGCUUUGUUUGAAUCAGAAGCAAUAUCUGAAAAAGGUAUUACAAUGUUUUGGUGUAAAUGAAAACACAAAACAUGUAAGUACCCCACUUGCUUCUCAUUUGAAACUUAGUGCUCAAUUAUCUCCGAAGACUGAAGAUGAAAGAGAAUAUAUGGCGAAAGUCCCAUAUGCUAAUGCAGUUGGGAGUUUGAUGUAUGCGAUGGUGUGUACGAGGCCUGACAUUUCACAAGCUGUUGGAGUUGUGAGCAGGUAUAUGCAUGAUCCUGGAAAAGGACAUUGGCAAGCUGUGAAAUGGAUUCUACGGUAUCUUCGAAAAACCAUAGAUGUUGGUUUAAUUUUUGAACAGGAUGAAGCACUUGGUCAGUUUGUAGUUGGAUAUGUUGAUUCCGACUUUGCUGGUGAUUUAGAUAAAUGUCGUUCAACUACGGGGUAUCUGUUUACUCUUGCGAAAGCCCCAGUGAGUUGGAAGUCUACCUUACAGUCUACAGUAGCUGUGUCUACUACAGAGGCAGAAUAUAUGGCAGUUACAGAAGCUGUUAAGGAGGCUAUUUGGCUUAAUGGAUUGUUGAAAGACUUAGGAGUUGUUCAAAGUCACAUAAGUUUAUAUUGUGACAGUCAGAGCGCUAUUCAUUUAGCGAAAAAUCAAGUCUAUCAUUCAAGAACCAAGCAUAUCGACGUAAGAUAUCACUUUGUGCGGGAAGUCUUUGAAAAAGGAAAAAUUCUACUUCAGAAGAUUCCGACAGCAGAUAAUCCCGCAGAUAUGAUGACCAAGGUGGUAACAACAAUCAAGUUUAAUCAUUGUUUGAACUUGAUUAACAUCCUGAGAAUUUGAGCACCUUCAGGUGUAUGGCGCUCGAGAGCGCAUUUGUAGGCACUACAAAAGAUAGCUUUAUCGAAUUUGGGGAGUUGAAGAAAGUGUGUGAAGAUGUGAUUAUCCUAAUCAAAUCUUCAAGGUGGAGAUUGUUAACAUUAAUGGAAGACAAUUAAUAAUGGUUGCCAUUAACAUUAAUGGGAGACAAUCAAUAAUGACAACCACCAACUUUGGAAAAGUGGCAAGGGAUAAUUUUUUUUUGGUCCUUGAGAUAAUGGGCUAUUUAUUGUUUGGUCCUUGAACCUCAACUAUAAAUAGGCCUUCUCAUUUCUCAUUUCAAUUCAUCCCAACCAAUCUUUCUCUCUUAGUUUUCUCUCUUCUCCCAUUUGAGAAUUCUUAAGGAAUUCUAUUUGUUUGUAAUAUUUUGGAGAUAGUAAAGUUAUCAUCUAGUGUUAGUGCCUGAGGACGUAGGUAUAAUUUACCGAACCUCGUUAAAACUCUUGUGUUCUUUCUUGUCCUAUUUUUCUUUCAAUAUUUGAGGGUAUAAUAGUACUAUUUAAUUGUGCUAUUAAAUUACUAUAAAAGGGAUAUUCUGACUAAGGAAAGACUUGGUAUUUAAGAGAUCCUUGUGAUCCACCUCUCUUCUCUGGGAAUUGAACUUUGUGUGAUUUUUUAGUACAAUAAUUUACACGCUUCCGACCCUAUUGGAACAACAGAGUAGGGUAGGCAACCACUUCAACCAUUAUUGCAAGUGAAGUUAGAACAAAAAUAUCCGUUGAAUUAUCAUCUUUGUUCAUUCUACGUGUAAUCAUGGCUCUAAUGACGUUUAAAGGACAUUAUUAUUGCUAUAAUUUUAUUUUUUAAUGAUUUAAAUUUAAGAAAAAUAAAAUUAGAAAAUUAUUUAUAUAGAAUAAAGAGUCGACAAGAAGAUUGAAACCUGGCAUGAAUAAGAAGAAUAAGAGUUCAACAAAGUGGUUCAACAUAGUUUUCAUGCAUUAAUGAUAUGGCAAAAAG